AGCGAACGCUGGCGGCAGGCUUAACACAUGCAAGUCGAGCGGGCAUCCUUGUGGUGUCAGCGGCAGACGGGUGAGUAACGCGUGGGAACGUGCCCUUCGGUUCGGAAUAACUCAGGGAAACUUGAGCUAAUACCGGAUACGUGCGAGAGCAGAAAGGUUUAUCUGCCGAAGGAUCGGCCCGCUUCUGAUUAGCUAGUUGGUGAGGUUACGGCUCACCAAGGCGACGAUCAGUAGCUGGUCUGAGAGGAUGAUCAGCCACACUGGGAGUGAGACACGGCCCAGACUACUACGGGAGGCAGCAGUGGGGAAUAUUGGAAAAUGGGGGCAACCAUGAUCCAGCCAUGCCGCGUGAGUGAUGACGGCCUUAGGGUUGUAAAGCUCUUUUCUCCGGGACGAUAAUGACGGUACCGGAGGAAUAAGCCCCGGCUAACUUCGUG
This 437-nucleotide ribosomal RNA is filed under the name uncultured bacterium. RNAcentral's name for it is "partial 16S ribosomal RNA". It matches the Rfam family "Bacterial small subunit ribosomal RNA", at positions 29 to 507 of the family's 1533-position model. The record is from RNAcentral.